CCUGUGUGGACGGGCGAUUGCAUGUGCCUGUUGGGUCCUGGCAAGCUGAGUGGGGUACGUAGUGUCGCAGUGGUCGCAAACGGCGAGUGUUGGCGUGGCUCAAUUCCACGAGUGGAUAGCAAUUUGAGCUAAGCAGCUGCUGGUUACGUCCCAUUGCAUGCACCGUUCUGGAGAUAGCGGAUGGAACAAGUUAUUGAUGCCAAUAUUUCUACGAUGCUCAGAUCUUGAUCUAAAUGGAUUUUGUAGUAUUCAUUCUCAUGAAUGGUGUUCCUUCAAUGAUGCCGAAGAUCACAAUGAAAGUUUUAAAUUUAGUGAGCACUAAUCUUGUUCUAAGAAUUUGUACUAAGUCUGUGUGAAGUUCUUAAAAGUGGUUGUCACAGAUUUAGUUUCAGGACCCGCAUAGUAACAUGAAGGAAAAUCGUCCUUAAAUUUGAAGACAAUAGUGCUCCAAGCAUGUGACGUGCUGUUUACUGAUACUUCAAUUUGUCAGAUGCUCGCUGCAUUCCUCAGCAACACUGCUGCCGCUCCGGCCCAGAAUACACCGGCAACAACGAACUCAGCACUUGGAAUCGAUGUCUCCCCGAGUGCAGAACUGACACAGACCAGCGGACAUGCACAGCACGCUGUAAACGGAGAGGAAGACGACGCAUAUUAUUACACCUACGACGGCGAUGACACGGACGCAGCGGCACCGGCCGGCGUGGAAGACGAGUACGCGGCCGGCGGCGACGACAUGGAUGCGGCGGCGUCCAUGGCGUUCCGGCCGCUGUUUCGCUACCGGGCGCAGCAGAGGAACCGCCGGCGGAUGCGCGCCGAGCGCCGCUACCGCAGCAGCAGAAACCACUGGUGAUGUGCCGCGUUACGGCCGAGCCGACAGCAGCGGCUAUUGGGGAGCCGUGCCGUCAGCGUAUCACGUCCAGGAACCAGCGCACACGAGGUCGCUGUAUUGUACCUGCACCACUCCACAUUUGUCAAUAUCUCUUCAUCGAGUUCCUUUCUUGCCAAUAAAGGGCUUUCACAUAGUUACAGGUUUAAAUUACCUCCGGGGAAUUCAGGAGAUGACUGCCUGAGAACUACACAACACAGCGAAACAUACACGUUUCAGUGGAUACAGCAUCUCUCCAAGUUUUGAUUCGUGAUACGACCUGCACAGUAGUCGCAAAGCGCAACACUUGGAGACAGACGUGUCAGAAUAUGAAGGCCAGUGGUCUUCAAACUUUUGUUCUCAAGAGUCAAUGCUGAUAUCGUGCGGCGUCCCCUCAGGUCGUAUAUGUAACGAGCUUAUUAUUAACUGGUAACAUAGAUAAAUUACUGUGUUGAGACUCUCCGAUGGACAAGUUAAGGAAGGACGCGAUGAGAUGGGCGCCCACCCCCAAAGUACUGAUCGUUAAAAGUCGCCACCAUUCGGAACACUUCGUGUCGCCUGUGCUCUGUUCCAGAUUGCUGCCACCCUAGCGACUCGAAAGUUGAGACACUAUAAUUACCGCACAAAGUAUUGCUGUUUUGUCUGUGUGUGUGGAUGAUUAACUGAUUAAUAACAGUAAUUGUAUUUGUACUUAAAUGAAUUAUGCAAUAUGAGACACGAUCAAUCAUGUUUGCUACAUGUUUUGAAUGUCAUUUUUCUGUUACCCAUUGUAUUGCAUGACAAAAUCCUUAAUUUAAUUCCAUAUUCCUUGCUGCAAACGUGUAACGCGUUUGUUGAGGAUAGUCUGUAACGUACAGUCAUGACAUGUUACUUUCGUUUGAGUCGUUAGUAAUGGAACAGAAACAAAACAUUAACUCGCUCGCAUCAUGCAACUCUGGAGGAACGAAACUACUUACCCCUCAGCCCCUGUGGUAAGAGGUCAACUUAGCCGAAUUCAUCAGCGUCAAUUUAAAUGAAACAUCUCUUAAAACAUUAUUGUCUCUGUAAGUAGAUUUAUGUGUUACUCAUGAGGGAAACUAUACUCUUCAGAAGCUCUUAACGUUAAUUGACGUUUUUGGAUUCAGGUGUUAGUUGCUAUAUGCAUACGAGUAUUUCAUAAAAUACGGCUGAGAGUCGCGGGCCGCACGAAUACUUGAUUGGGGCCGCAGUUUGACGACCACUGAUGUAGAAAAAUCUGCCGCUUCGCAACGUCCCAGGUAGGCAAACCAAUGAAUAGAUUUCCAAAGCGGGCGCUGGCGUUGUGCCUCCCCAGGCAGCAGCGAUUGACAGUUCAGUGAAUUGCACGUACGUGCUCUUCCGUCUGUUUUGACGUUUUCUGCGUCACAAACAGUGCUCAUACUGAACAUCUGCAGCCGGCCGGAGUGGCCGAUCGGUUCUAGGCGCUACAGUCUGGAUCCGCGCGACCGCUACGGUCGCAGGUUCGAAUUCUGCCUCGGGCAUGGAUGUGUGUGAUGUCUUUAGGUUAGUUAGGUUUAAGUAGUUCUAAGUUAUAGGGGACUGAUGACCUCUGAAGUUAAGUCCCGUAGUGCUCAGAGCCAUUUGAACAUCUGCAAUGUGAUUUAAAAGCUUGGAGAGAUCCUCCAUCCACUGAUACGUCUGUUUUGUGUAUGUAUUGUAGUAUUCGUCCAGUCGUCCUGUGAAACCCGGUAGGCGUCAUGAAUAUCCCUGCAUUUACAGAUGCAUGGUUCCUUUGUCUCAAGUGAAAUGGUGAUACAACGAGACGCACGCUGUAAAUACUUUGAAUUCCACCCACACUGUAUUUUUUACUGCUGCGUUAUGAAUAAUGCUACAUGAUAACCACCAAACAACACUAGAAGAGUUCUUCUAUGUAUCCCCUAAGACUGGUGAACUUCGUACUUGAAGGCAAGUCUAUGAAAUUGAAGACGAAAGGGCAAAUUGGCCAAUAGUACCACCACCGCAUUGCGACUUAAUAACAACUGCCAUUAGUAAUUUAGCACGUGCUUCGGCAAAACUUUUGUAUUGAUUUAUUUUAUAAUGAACCUACUUUUAUAUUGUGCGAUAU
Schistocerca serialis cubense is the source of this 2948-nucleotide RNA transcript. RefSeq lists it as uncharacterized. The record is from RefSeq and is a predicted model, not a curated record. The transcript is spliced from 2 exons. Lineage: Eukaryota; Metazoa; Arthropoda; Insecta; Orthoptera; Acrididae.